UACGAAGGGGGCUAGCGUUGCUCGGAAUCACUGGGCGUAAAGGGUGCGUAGGCGGGGCUUUAAGUCAGGGGUGAAAUCCUGGAGCUCAACUCCAGAACUGCCUUUGAUACUGAGGAUCUUGAGUUCGGGAGAGGUGAGUGGAACUGCGAGUGUAGAGGUGAAAUUCGUAGAUAUUCGCAAGAACACCAGUGGCGAAGGCGGCUCACUGGACCGAUACUGACGCUGAGGCACGAAAGCGUGGGGAGCAAACAGG
Molecule: ribosomal RNA, 253 nt
Filed under: uncultured bacterium
Lineage: Bacteria
Description: partial 16S ribosomal RNA
Rfam family: Bacterial small subunit ribosomal RNA
Source: RNAcentral